UUCCGGUUGAUCCUGCCGGAGAUCACUGUUAUUAGGGUUCGGCUUAGCCAUGCUAGGCGUGAGUCUUCGGGACUCGCCGCACUGCUCAGUAACACGUAGUUAACCUGCUCUUAGGUGGAGGAUAAUCCCGAGAAAUUGGGGCUAAUACUCCAUAGGUUUUGGAUACUGGAAUGUUUCAAAACUCAAAUCUCCGGAGCCUAAGAAUGGGACUGCGGCCCAUCAGGCUGUUGUGAGUGUAAAGUACUCACAAACCUAUAACGGGUGGGGGCCAUGAGAGUGGAAGCCUCGAGAUGCCUUCUGAGACAUGAAGGCAGGUCCUACGGGACGCAGCAGGCGCGAAAACUUUCCAAUUCAUUAGCGUGUGAGAAGGGAACCCUGAGUGAUUAUGCUUUGCAUAGUCUUUUGUUUUGUCUAGAUCGCAAGACGAAUAAGUGGUGGGCAAGACGGGUGCCAGCCGCCGCGGUAAUACCCGCGCCACAAAUGGUGAUCAUGGUUAUUGGGUCUAAAGCGUUCGUAGCCGGUUUAGCAAGUUCCUGGUGAAAUCUGGCAGCUAACUGUCAGGCAUGCUGGGAAUACUACUAGACUUGAGAUCGGGAGAGGAUAGAGGUAUUCCAUGUGUAGGGGUUAAAUCCUUUAAUCCAUGGAGGACCACCUGUGGCGAAAGCGUCUAUCUAGAACGAGUCUGACGGUGAGGGACGAAAGCGUAGGGAGCAAACGGAUUAGAUACCCGUGUAGUCUACGCCGUAAACGAUGCCUGUUUGGCGUUGCAUGCCUUAUGUGGGUAUGCAGUACCGGAGCGUAGUGUUAAACAGGCCACCUGGGGAGUACGGCCGCAAGGCUAAACUUAAGGAAUUGGCGGGGGGAGCACACAGGGGUGGAAGACU
Molecule: ribosomal RNA, 884 nt
Filed under: uncultured archaeon
Lineage: Archaea
Description: partial 16S ribosomal RNA
Rfam family: Archaeal small subunit ribosomal RNA
Source: RNAcentral